GACGAACGCUGGCGGCGUGCUUAACACAUGCAAGUCGAACGGAAAGGCCCUGCUUUUGUGGGGUGCUCGAGUGGCGAACGGGUGAGUAACACAUGAGUAACCUGCCCUUGACUUUGGGAUAACUGCAGGAAACUGCGGCUAAUACCGGAUAGGAGCUCCUGCUGCAUGGUGGGGGUUGGAAAGUUUCGGUGGUUGGGGAUAGACUCGAGGCAUAUCAGCUUGCUUGUGGAGUAGUGGCUUACCAAGGUUUCGACGGGUAGACGGCCUGAGAGGGUUACCGGCGACAUGGGGACUGAGGUAGGGCUCAGAAUGCAACGGGAAGCAGCAGUAGGGAAUCUUGCACAAUGGGCGGAAGCCUGAUAUAACGGUGCCGCGUGCGGGAUAACGGCCUUCGAGUUAUGAACCGAUUUCGCCGGUGACGAAGAGGGAGUGACGGUAAUGGGUAAAGAAGCACCGGCUAACUACGUG
This 468-nucleotide ribosomal RNA is filed under the name uncultured bacterium. RNAcentral's name for it is "partial 16S ribosomal RNA". It matches the Rfam family "Bacterial small subunit ribosomal RNA", at positions 28 to 507 of the family's 1533-position model. The record is from RNAcentral.